GUAAAAUUAGAACUUUUAAGUUCUGAAGUUUGCCAAUAUCAAUGGGAAUAUUACCUGACAGCCGAUUGCUUUGCAUGGAGAGCUUCUCCAAGUUGACAAGAUUGACAAUGCCAGUGGGAAUUCUUCCUGAUAUGCUAUUGUCACUUAUUAUGAAUCUUGAAAGACUAGUUGAGAAGUUGCUGAUGGAUUCAGGUAAAACUCCUCCAAAUUUGUUAUUAUUCGUUUCCACUAACCAUAAGUUGGUUGAAUUGAUCAAGGAUGAGAGAAAGUUCAAGUCAUUAGCACCCCAACUCCCAAG
This 298-nucleotide unclassified non-coding RNA is filed under the name Hevea brasiliensis (rubber tree). The record is from RNAcentral. Lineage: Eukaryota; Viridiplantae; Streptophyta; Magnoliopsida; Malpighiales; Euphorbiaceae.